ACAAAUUGCUCGGUUGGACCAUAAAAGCUUAGAAAUCACAUAAAAUAAUGGGAUUUCUUGCAAUCGGGAGGGCUUUUAUGCUCUUUGUUCGUCGUGGCUGCUGUUGGCAGCAAGUAUGGGCUGAGGAUUACCUAUGGACUGAUCGUCCAAGGCCCCAAGCCUUGUCGAAAAUCAGAAAGUGAUUUUCGGGGCGUUUCUCGGCGAAAUCCGCUGACGGAACGCGGGUUCGGUUCGGAAUUAUUCCGACGGUGCUUCAUGAUGGAUUGUUUAGUCGCUGGGCCUUGUUGGCUGGUCACUCGCAUCAUUUCGAGGGUUCGGAAAUGACGGGUGAGCGACGGGGAGUUCCGGUGUCAAAUUGGACACUUCCGGGAACCCGGAUCGAAACGAUUAUCCGACGAUAAUUGUUUCGACGUGAGGAGUUGUGUUUGCUGCCAUAAUGCACGAUUAAUUAUGUUUAGUGGUAGCGGGUGACUCGUAGCGCGAGUCGGUGUGUUCCGGGAUAGUUCGUGGGUCCCGGCGGAGUCCCAGUGCGAUUUUUGGGACUUCCGGCGAGUUACGGUAGUCGGUUUUGGGAAACCGAUCUCCGUGGGUUUGUUAGUGGGAUUAUGAUUUAGUAUUUCUUAGUUGUGGGUUAGACACUAACCCGGUGGACCUUCCUUAGGUCCGGUUGACAUUCUUUCGGAGACAGGAGACAUGCGCGACAUCCUUACAGGUGGGUACUUCGAUCCGACGUCGGUACAGUGGUGCACGCUCGGUAAUGGUUUCUUACCCUUACUUUGUUGUUGUUACUAUUGCAUAGUAUAUAUUGAGCCUUGCACCCAUAUUAUUCCAUUAUACUCUGCUUGUUAUUUGCAUGCUUAGUAUCCUGAGUAGGAGUAGAGUAGUUCUAUCUAUAUGCAUAUCUGUUGACCUGGUUGGCCGGUUGUUGCAUUCCGUAUCUGUUGACCUGGUUGGUCGGUUGUUGCAUUCCGUAUCUGUUGACUAGGUUGGUCGGUUCUCGUACUUCGUAUCAGUGACCUUGCUGGUCGGUUGGACUCUGUGGGCCUUGGGUCCAGGCAACACAUCGACUCUCUUGUCAUGUGUUUCGAUCUGGUUGAUCGUGGUUCGGCGUUGUAACAUACCAGAUUUUGGUAUAAAAAUAAUAAAUAAAUAAAAAUAGUGUGAGAUACUAUUUUUAUUGGAUUUAUAGAAGUAAAACAUAAGUCAGAAGUGACUUGUGCUGAAAUCGGAAUUAAAACAGAAGAUCUAGAAUUUUCUGUUGGAAACGGGACAGAUAGAUUAGCAGAAAAUGCACAGUCUCAGAAAAUUAUGAAAAUUCGAGGAUAAGUCAGAAAUAUUUUUAUGAGGCUAGAUUUAAAGUUUCGUAUUUUUCUGACACCCGGAAGGUGGGAAAUAAAAUCCCACAGCUAUCUGUUAAAGGUUACAGUUCGGUACAGUUUUCGGUGACCGAACGGGGUCGAAACUGAACGAGUGAUCGUCAGCUUGUUAAGUUAAGUAAAACCGAGCAUGACUGUCAAGUUUGAGCUCAAACGGAUAUUCAGGGAGCUCCGGCGAAAAAUAUCAGAUUUUAAGCUGCCCGAGAGUGAAUAGUGUUUGAGAGUGUAGUAUAUAAGAAGCAUGAUGCUUCUUCUUCCUCCUUCAGCCGUGCACACCCCCACACACCGCACGCACGCAUGGAGAUAGAGAGAGAAACACCUCUCCCUCUCUCUAGAUAUCUCUCUCAUCUCUCUAUAUCUCUCUCUGAAAAUUGGAGGGUUGGUGGAGAAGAUGCUUGCGAACGCGUUGGAGGCGACGGAUCGAGCUUUCGUGCGCCCGUUGGAGCGGCGUGUUUUCGUCGCGGCGUUCACAUUGAGGUAAGCUUUUAGGAUUUGGCUUAAUCCUUGGUUUUAAGUGUUCUAAUAGCUUCUAUAAUGAGCAUUCUAAACAUGUUUGCUCUAUUUAAUUUGGAUUAUUUGGAGAUUAAUUCAUGUUAGGUUUAGAAAAUGGGGUUUUAUAAAAUAUGAGGGUUUGAUCUCAUUUGACCCUUCGUAAACCAAAUUGCUAGGUAAACGAACGCGUUGGCGAAGUCGGUUCGGCGAUCCGUCGAGCCGUUGUAAAGUUAUUAAAGAAACGGACGUUUAGGCUUCGUUUCCGCCUGGAGGGCCGAGGCGAUAUCGUAAACCCAUGAAAACGGAUUUGAGGCAUCGUGGCACAUAACCGAAGACCUUUAAUUUUCGGAUCGUGAAUUGGAGGCCGUUCGGGUGGUCGCGCGAGAGAUCGGGCCAAACCGGGUUACGGGUGCUGCGGGCGGCCGAUUGCAAGUGUCGACAAGCAAUCGGAAUGCGAAAUGAGGUGGGUUGUGCUUACCGAAGCGACUAGGUCGCCUUCUAUGUCUAAGAGAAAUGAGAUUUCAUAUUGAUGCAUGUUGACAUAUAAUGUGAAAUGCUAGAGGAAUGCAUUUGACAUAAUGUAAGAAUGUGAAAAGAAUGCAUGAAAACAUAUUAUAGAAAUGCUAGAUAAAUGCAUGUGAUUAAUGUUUUGAAUGCAUAAGAUAAAGGGCAUAUGAAUGUUAACAUUAUAAGAACAUGAUAAAAGGAAUGCAUGAUGACUUAGUGUAAAUAGUGCUAGAUGAAUGCAUUGAUUAAUGCUAAAGUAUACAUGAUAAGCAUGCAUGUGGAUAAUGCUAAGUAAUGGUAUGAUAAGCAUGAUGUAGAAAUAAUAAAUGCAAGCACGUGGUUAAUGCUAAGAAUAUAGAUGAUGACAUGAUAAAAAUGCUAAGUAAUGGUAUGAUAAGCAUGUUUAGGGAUGCUAAAAUAAGAAUGCUAAGUAAAGGACUUAUCAUGUGAUGGUAGUGGUAUAUGUGCAUGUUGACAUUUACAUGUUAAACUUGGGGUCGAUAACUCUAGGUUGAUUAGAGAACUCGACAUUGGAAACCUAGUGUAAUGCUCGAUGUGGACAAUCUAUAUACAUUAGAUCGAGUGGCAUAUGAACCUAGAGUCAUGGACAUAGGUUAAACAAGUAUUGUGUGAAAGAACAUAGGUUGGACAUGAACCUAGUGUUAAAGAACAUAGGUUGGAUAUGAACCUAAUGUUAAAGAACAUAGGUUGGGCAUUGGACCUAGUGUUAAAGAACAUAGGUUGGACAUGAACCUAGUGUUAAAGAAAGUAGUUAAACAAGGUUUAACCCAAAGUGACAUUGUGGCUUGGUAUUAGCGGUAUAUGCAUGAUUAGGUAAAAACCUAUCAUUGACAUUGAGGCAUAGAGAUAUGGAACAGGUUUGCUAUACCUCCUCAAAUUGAGGAUGGGAUCGUACUCACAUGUAUCGGUUCCGGCUUGUGCGAGGUCGCACCUCUACGGGCGGUGUACUCCGGAGUAUAGACACCACGGGUGAGAGUGCCCGGCGAAGAUCCCUCGGGUGACAGUGCCUUGCGCCUUCCUCGGUAGACGGGAUGAUCCCUCGGGGCAUUUCCUAAUGCUAAUCCCGGUAGAUGGGACAUGUGAGAUGUGAGCUUUGGGGGAACUUGAUGAACCCCGGAAAGAUUGGGUAAAGGCUAAAGUGAAUGUGUGAAAGUAUGCAUUAUGAGCCUGGAUGUAUGCGGUAUUCCGCAGAUGAUUGACUCGAGACCGAGUCGGGUGGUUAGCUUGGCUAAGGUAGAGGAAAACCUUAGGAGCAAAUAACCAACGAUGUAAAGUGACAAGAUGUAUAAAUUAUGAAAAAGCUAUGGAUAGCAUGAUAGAAAGUUAAAUCAUUUAUUCUAUUAUAUAGUUGCAUGAUUCGCAUAUAGCAUGGCAUUCUUGCAUUCGUGAGGCAAAGCAUGGUUUUAUUAGUUGCAUAAUCAAGAUAUGUAUCUAUCUGUUUAUUGAACUAACCUGUUGUUGCCUCUUUUGGACCUAUUGGUC
This 3878-nucleotide long non-coding RNA is filed under the name Ananas comosus (pineapple). RNAcentral's name for it is "long non-coding RNA (ACOM_LNC041965)". Lineage: Eukaryota; Viridiplantae; Streptophyta; Magnoliopsida; Poales; Bromeliaceae. The record is from RNAcentral.